RNAcentral lists this long non-coding RNA (827 nucleotides) under Lepisosteus oculatus (spotted gar). RNAcentral describes it as "lncRNA (ENSLOCG00000021602.1)". Lineage: Eukaryota; Metazoa; Chordata; Actinopteri; Semionotiformes; Lepisosteidae. The record is from RNAcentral.
GUACUUAUUACUUUGUAAGCUGUCCACUGAACCAGGCUGUGGUAUUUGGCAUUUACUUUUUUUUUGCACUUGGUGGUGAUUAAUCAAGUCAUUCUGCCGUGCUGUUUAAUUGUUUGCUAGUAAAGAGAAUGCUGUCAUGUAUUUCAGAACCCUGGGAAUCCAUCCACACACACAACACAGUCAUCAAAUACUGCGGUCUCAGACCUUCGUUUGCUAUAGUGUCCUUUGAACAGUUAGUCCCAGAGCUCUGUGCAGAUCUGUGUUGCAGGUGACAAGACAGCAACAGAGGGCCAGGUGAGUAGAGCAGAGGAAAUGAAAAACCGCCAGUGGGAGAAAAGGAACCUCGUGCAGAGAGGGGCUGAGAGGGACUGAACGACAGUCUUUUGUUUGCUUUAAUGCCCUGUGCAGAGCUCUGUAGAGAUCUGUGUUGCAGGUGACAGUAUAGCAGCAGUGGGCCAUGUGGGCACAGAAGAGACAAAAACAAAGAAAACAAAAACCUCCAGUGGGAGGAAGGAAACCUCUGGGGGUCCCGGGCCCUGUGGUUGUACCCCCCAUCCAGGCAAUGAGUGUCAGGAACCCAGGCUGUGGGAAAAUAAAAAGACGCAGAAAUGAAGAGCGCAACGGAGAGGGGCUAUCAAAAAUAGCACCACGUUAUGGGAAGUGAAACUGAGUUACAAAAUCCGUCCGAAAAGGCUUUCUUCUACUCAGCCGAGAAAACAACAACUCAUUCAAGUGAAAAGUUGUCCGUCAUCUGCGGUUAACCCUUGAAUUCCUUAUUCGGAGAAAACCUGUCAUUCUACUGUUGAAAUAGCAACCGCUGGUGUUCA